GAUGAACGCUAGCGGGAGGCCUAACACAUGCAAGCCGAGCGGUAUUGUUUCUUCGGAAAUGAGAGAGCGGCGUACGGGUGCGUAACACGUGUGCAACCUGCCUUUAUCUGGGGGAUAGCCUUUCGAAAGGAAGAUUAAUACUCCAUAAUAUAUUGAACGGCAUCGUUUAAUAUUGAAAGCUCCGGCGGAUAGAGAUGGGCACGCGCAAGAUUAGCUAGUUGGUGAGGUAACGGCUCGCCAAGGCGAUGAUCUUUAGGGGGCCUGAGAGGGUGAUCCCCCACACUGGUACUGAGACACGGACCAGACUCCUACGGGCGGCAGCAGUGCGGAAUAUUGGUCAAUGGGUGCAAGCCUGAACCAGCCAUCCCGCGUGAAGGACGACCGCCCUAUGGGUUGUAAACUUCUUUUGUAUAGGGAUAAACCUACCCUCGAGAGGGUAGCUGAAGGUACUAUCAGAAUAAGCACCGGCUAACUCCGUG
RNAcentral lists this ribosomal RNA (479 nucleotides) under uncultured bacterium. RNAcentral's name for it is "partial 16S ribosomal RNA". It matches the Rfam family "Bacterial small subunit ribosomal RNA", at positions 28 to 507 of the family's 1533-position model. The record is from RNAcentral.